UAACGCGUGAGGAACCUGCCUCAAAGAGGGGGACAACAGUCGGAAACGACUGCUAAUACCGCAUAAGCCCACAGCUCGGCAUCGAGCAGAGGGAAAAGGAGUGAUCCGCUUUGAGAUGGCCUCGCGUCCGAUUAGCUAGUUGGUGAGGUAAUGGCCCACCAAGGCGACGAUCGGUAGCCGGACUGAGAGGUUGAACGGCCACAUUGGGACUGAGACACGGCCCAG
RNAcentral lists this ribosomal RNA (225 nucleotides) under uncultured bacterium. RNAcentral's name for it is "partial 16S ribosomal RNA". It matches the Rfam family "Bacterial small subunit ribosomal RNA", at positions 111 to 334 of the family's 1533-position model. The record is from RNAcentral.